Molecule: long non-coding RNA, 1239 nt
Organism: Mobula hypostoma (lesser devil ray)
Lineage: Eukaryota; Metazoa; Chordata; Chondrichthyes; Myliobatiformes; Myliobatidae
Exons: 3
Source: RefSeq, a predicted model, not a curated record
CACAGGUGCUCCGGUUUCCCGCCACAUCCCAAAGCUGUGUGGGAUGGUAGGGUAAUGAGUUGCUGCCUGGCCUGCUGAGUUCCUCCAGCAUUUUGUGUGUGUUGCUUGGAUUUCCAGCACCUGCAGAUUUUCUCUUGAAUGUUGAAAGGACUAGUCAGAGUGGAUGUAGAGAGGAUGUUACCUCUGGUGGGGGUAUCCAGAACUAGAGGGCACAGCCUGAAAAUUGAGGGGCGACUCCUUAGAACAGAGGUGACCUGGAUGCUGGGGAGACCAGUGCCCAUGAUGGAGCUAACUGAGGUUACAUCUCUCUGCUGCUUAUUUCAAUCCUGAACAGUGACCCGCCAUACUAGACGGUGACGCAACCAGUUAGAAUGCUCUCCACAGUACAUGGAUAGAAAUUUGCGAGAGUGUCUGCUGACAUAUCAAAUCUUCUCAAACUCCUCAUGAAUUAUAGCUGCUGUUAUGCUUCCUUUGUAACUGCAUCGAUAUGUUGGGCCCAGGAUAGAUCCUCAGAGAUGUUGACACCCGGGAACUUGAAAUUGUUCCCUCCACUUCUGAUCCUUCGACGAGGACUGGAGUGUGUUCCCUCUUCUUACCCUUUCUGAAGUCUGCAAUCAAUUCUUUGGUCUUACUGACGUUGAGUGCAAAGUUGUCACUGCAGGACCACUCGACCAGCUGAUCCAGCCUCCCACUUGACCUUACCUACCAAGAGCUAAGCACAAGGCAGCAUCACUCUCGGGAUCUUAAGAUCUCACAAGCCUCUCCACCACGACAAGAUGACCAUCCUCGGAGAAGUGUAAUGACUGCAAUAAUGAGGAGGAGCAAGGGUUCAGAGAAAAAUGAACUCAAUUAAUUUUAAGAUGGCAUAGUUUUAAGAUGCUUGGAAAUAGGUACAGGGGGAUGUCAGAGAUAAGUUUUUCACACAGAGACUGUCAGCAAGGUGGUAGAGGUGGAUAUAAUAGGAUCUUUUAAGAGACACUUAGAUAGGUACAUGGAACUUAGAAAAAUAGAGGGCUAUGCGGUAGGGAAAUUCUAGGCAGUUUCUGGGGUAGGUUACAUGGUCUGCACAACAUUGUGGGCCGAUAGGCCUGUAAUGUACUUUAGAUUUCUGUGUUUCUAUGUCCCUAAUAAAAGCAAAGGUGUUGUAAAGCUCAAUGGUAUUGCAUAAACAGACCCUCUCUAUUAUAUAACUCAAAGUUUUAAGUUCAAAGUUCAAUGUAAGUUUACUAUUAAAGUACA